CACACUCAUUACACAAUCGCACAGAAAGUGGGAAGGGGGACUCAAAGUGCUCAUACUUUGUAUGGGCUUUUGCCAACUCAAAAUCUGUUGGCGAAUAAGUGGGGGGAAAGACUGGUGCCAGCCGCCGCGGUAACACCAGCGCCACAAGUGGGAACCGGUAUUAUUGGGCCUAAAGCGUCCGUAGCAGGUUUAGUAAAUUGCUUGUGAAAUCGUAUAGCUCAACUAUACGGAUUGCUGGCAACACUGCUGAACUAGAGACCGGGAGAGGUUGGAGGUAUUCAGGGGGGAGCGGUAAAAUGCGAGAAUCCCUUGAGGACCACCUGUUGCGAAGGCGUCCGACAAUAACGGGUCUGACUGUGAGGGACUAAAGCUAGGGGAGCGAACCGGAUUAGAUACCCGAGUAGUCCUAGCCAUAAACGCUGCGAGUUAGGUGUUGCAUAAUCUUCGGGAUUAUGCAGUAUCGUAGAGAAGUCGUUAAGCUCGCCGCCUGGGAAGAACGGCCGCAAGACUGAAACUUAAAGGAAUUGGCGGGGGAAAGGGCGAAUUCGUUUAAACCUGCAGGACUAGUCCCUUUAGUGAGGGUUAAUUCUGAGCUUGGCGUAAUCAUGGUCAUAGCUGUUUCCGGAA
RNAcentral lists this ribosomal RNA (627 nucleotides) under uncultured archaeon. RNAcentral describes it as "bacterial SSU rRNA". It matches the Rfam family "Archaeal small subunit ribosomal RNA", at positions 342 to 1478 of the family's 1478-position model. The record is from RNAcentral.